RNAcentral lists this unclassified non-coding RNA (270 nucleotides) under Glomus sp. RNAcentral's name for it is "partial contains 5.8S ribosomal RNA and internal transcribed spacer 2". The stretch from base 1 to 71 matches the Rfam family "5.8S ribosomal RNA", at positions 84 to 154 of the family's 154-position model. The record is from RNAcentral. Lineage: Eukaryota; Fungi; Glomeromycota; Glomeromycetes; Glomerales; Glomeraceae.
GUGAAGCAGCAAAUCUUUGAACGCAAAUUGCACUCUCUUGUAUUCCGGAUUGUAUGCCUGUUUUAGGGUCAUGUUUAAUAAAAAUCUGUUUGGUUGCUGCCUUUCGUGUUGACGCACCGGAUUUGGCUCUUCUUGCCGUCGAUUAAGUGACCUAAAAUUUUGCAUGAUUUUUUUCGAACGUAUUUAAAUGAGUUUACGUACGAUUGCUAUAUAGAAUACUAGGUGUGGUCAUCCUCAUGAUUCGCGCCUAUAAUUUUUCAUCAAAAUGAG